CACAUACAAUGUGGCGAAUCUGAUAUCGGAGGCCCUUGUGGUGUUUGUUUGCUCCACCACAGGGCAAGGUGAUCCUCCAGACAACAUGAAGUACAGAAAAUGCAGC
Long non-coding RNA from Silurus meridionalis, 106 nucleotides. RefSeq lists it as uncharacterized. NCBI's taxonomy places the organism in Eukaryota, Metazoa, Chordata, Actinopteri, Siluriformes, Siluridae. The record is from RefSeq and is a predicted model, not a curated record. The transcript is spliced from 3 exons.